This 644-nucleotide ribosomal RNA is filed under the name uncultured bacterium. RNAcentral's name for it is "bacterial SSU rRNA". It matches the Rfam family "Bacterial small subunit ribosomal RNA", at positions 9 to 628 of the family's 1533-position model. The record is from RNAcentral.
GAGUUUGAUCCUGGCUCAGAACGAACGUUGGCGGCGUGGAUUAGGCAUGCAAGUCGAACGAGAAAACACCCUUCGGGGUGCGAGUAAAGUGGCGAACGGGUGAGUAACGCGUGGGGAACCUACCCUUGAGUGGGGGAUAACGCUCCUAACGGGGCGCUAAUACCGCAUGACACCGGAGGCAGGCAUCUGCUUCUGGUCGAAGAUGGCCUCUGACUCAAGCUGUCGCUUAAGGAUGGCCCCGCGUCCGAUUAGCUUGUUGGUGGGGUAACGGCCCACCAAGGCGACGAUCGGUAGCCGGCCUGAGAGGGUGUCCGGCCACACUGGGACUGAGAUACGGCCCAGACUCCUACGGGAGGCAGCAGUCGAGAGGCUUCCACAAUGGGGGAAACCCUGAUGGAGCGACGCCGCGUGGGUGAGGAAGGUCUUCGGAUCGUAAAACCCUGUCAGGAGGGAAGAAAACCGGAUUGGUUAAUACCCUUUCCGUUUGACGGUACCUCCAGAGGAAGCUCCGGCUAACUCCGUGCCAGCAGCCGCGGUAACACGGAGGGAGCAAACGUUGCUCGGAAUCACUGGGCGUAAAGCGCACGUAGGCGGAUUGCUAAGUCAGGGGUGAAAUCCUGGAGCUCAACUCCAGAACUGCCCUU